UUUCAGGGUUUACAGACAGAGGGAAUUAUUGAACAGAGAAACAAUAUUGCUGUGCCAUAUUAUUCAAAAUGUAUGCGUCUGCACUAUGCAGACUGGCAGAAGUCCGGUAUUCGAGUGAACCAGAGCAGAGUAAAUUGUAGCAGACCAGCAAAAACGUGUUUUAUUCCACUUAAAAUUAUUCCAGUAUUAGACAUCAAUAGAAUUAUUAGUAUAUUUAAUUGGGUGGUGGUUUUAAAAUUGACUAAUGCUGUAUGUCUGUUGUUUUCUAUAAGGGCCGUUGUUAUGCAUACCAUAACAAAAAAGGCAGGAAUACUGAGGCAGCUAUGACGUGGAUGUCUACAACUUCUUUAAGAUGCAGGCCCCAAAGACGUCCCAGUGUGAUGCAAAGGCUGUCCAGCAGGCUCACAGACAUCUCCUGUCAACUGAAAGAGAAGCCUUUAA
Oryzias latipes (Japanese medaka) is the source of this 441-nucleotide long non-coding RNA. RefSeq lists it as uncharacterized. Lineage: Eukaryota; Metazoa; Chordata; Actinopteri; Beloniformes; Adrianichthyidae. The record is from RefSeq and is a predicted model, not a curated record.